Molecule: non-coding RNA, 210 nt
Filed under: human gut metagenome
Source: RNAcentral
UCCAAGCAAGGUUUAGCCAACCAGAUAAUAGCGAGUCUUAGGAUGAUGUUGGUAAAGGUAUCUGACAAGUAUAGAUAGCAAGAAAACAGGGUUGAAUAGUGAUUGAACUUCGAAACGUUAACAUCAGUCGGUCGAUGUCCUAACUGAUGCGGAAGACGAUAUCAGAUAAUGCGAGAUGACUAGUAUUUAUGGCACUGCGAAGUCAGAGAA